Molecule: small nuclear RNA, 162 nt
Filed under: Paramormyrops kingsleyae
Lineage: Eukaryota; Metazoa; Chordata; Actinopteri; Osteoglossiformes; Mormyridae
Description: U1 spliceosomal RNA (ENSPKIG00000021427.1)
Rfam family: U1 spliceosomal RNA
About the family: U1 is a small nuclear RNA (snRNA) component of the spliceosome (involved in pre-mRNA splicing). Its 5' end forms complementary base pairs with the 5' splice junction, thus defining the 5' donor site of an intron. There are significant differences in sequence and secondary structure between metazoan and yeast U1 snRNAs, the latter being much longer (568 nucleotides as compared to 164 nucleotides in human).
Source: RNAcentral
AUACUUACCCGACAGGGGAGGUAUGAAGAUCACGAAGGUGGUUCACCCAGGGUGAGGCCCAGCCAUUGCACUGCGGCUGUGCUGACCCCUGCGAAUUGCCCAAAUGUGGAAAUCUCUACUGCAUAAUUUCUGGUAGUGGGGGACUGUUUUCACACUCUCCAC